Molecule: non-coding RNA, 405 nt
Organism: Phascolarctos cinereus (koala)
Lineage: Eukaryota; Metazoa; Chordata; Mammalia; Diprotodontia; Phascolarctidae
Source: RefSeq, a predicted model, not a curated record
CCUGGUUUACAUGGAUAUAAAAAGGGUCAUUGGAAAGGAAGAUUUUGGAGACUUUGAUUGCAGAGAUAGGGACGUCAACUCUGUCAGAGGCGGACCGAGUACACUGCCUUCGUUGUGUCCUGGGUAGGAGGCUCCAUGUUGCCUUCUUGACCAGACCUUUUGGCCAUUCUCCAGUCUCCCUGGUCUAUUAGUCCUUCACAAUCUGGAUCCAACCUACUUUUCUAGACCAGACCUGCAACUACUUGGCAGUAGGCUAAGAAUUCCCCUCUUCCUUCAAUCAACACCCUUCUAGUAGGAUUAUAUGACUCCUUUCUAUGCAAGCCACCCUAGACUGGUCACAAUCAGUUUCUCAAAGCCUCUUCUAAAAUGUGGUGCCCAGAACCUGACAUCAUAUUUCAGAUACAA